This 775-nucleotide ribosomal RNA is filed under the name uncultured Neocallimastigales. RNAcentral describes it as "partial large subunit ribosomal RNA". It matches the Rfam family "Eukaryotic large subunit ribosomal RNA", at positions 23 to 634 of the family's 3401-position model. The record is from RNAcentral. Lineage: Eukaryota; Fungi; Neocallimastigomycota; Neocallimastigomycetes; Neocallimastigales.
AGAGAGAGACAUGCGCGCAUAUCAAUAAGCGGAGGAAAAGAAACUAACAAGGAUUCCCUUAGUAACGGCGAGUGAAGCGGGAAGAGCUCAAAUUUGAAAUCUUCAAGGUUUUACCUUGACGAAUUGUAGUUUAAAGAAGUGUUUUCUGCUGAAGUUUUGGUAAAAGUUCUUUGGAAUAGGACAUCAUAGAGGGUGAGAAUCCCGUAUUUGACCAUUAUUUUCAGCUUUGUGAUACACUUUCAAAGAGUCGGAUUGUUUGGGAAUGCAGUCCAAAAUGAGUGGUAAAUUUCAUCUAAAGCUAAAUAUUGGCGAGAGACCGAUAGCGAACAAGUACCGUGAGGGAAAGAUGAAAAGAACUUUGAAAAGAGAGUUAAACAGUACGUGAAAUUGUCAAAAGGGAAGCGUUUGACACCAGUGUUGUUUUCUCGAAAAUCAAUUAAAAAUGGCUCGAUUUUGUAUUGCUGAGACCUUAAAAGCUCACUGUACAUUUUUCGUGUCUUUUUUAACUGCACUUUUCGUUUAACAAGUCAACAUCAGUUUCUUUUGUUGUAAAAGGGUCAUUGGAAGGUGGCUUUCUUUUCGGAGAAAGUGUUUAUAGCCUUUGGCCUCUGCAAUCGGAGAGACUGAGGUCUGCAGCGUAGACUCUUCGGGGUUAGAUACAUUUGUGCUAAGUUAUAGCUUUUUAUAGACAACUUGUUGACUAUAAUUAGUCUUGUAGCUUACUCGCUUAUGCUAUUUUACCUACGCUUAGGAUGUUGAGUCGUAGAGCACGCAG